This 403-nucleotide ribosomal RNA is filed under the name uncultured bacterium. Its description in RNAcentral is "bacterial SSU rRNA". It matches the Rfam family "Bacterial small subunit ribosomal RNA", at positions 27 to 426 of the family's 1533-position model. The record is from RNAcentral.
GGACGAACGCUGGCGGCGUGCCUAACACAUGCAAGUCAACGAGAAAAGGGUAGCAAUAUCCUGAGUAAAGUGGCGCACGGGUGAGUAACACGUAGGUAAUCUGCCAUUAGGACGGGGACAACCACGCGAAAGCGUGGCUAAUACCCGAUGAAUCAGCGGCGCCGCAUGGCGUUGUUGUUAAAUACCGCAAGGUGCCUGGUGAUGAACCUGCGUCCCAUUAGGUAGUUGGUGAGGUAACGGCUCACCAAGCCGACGAUGGGUAGCUGGUCUGAGAGGAUGAUCAGCCACACUGGAACUGAGACACGGUCCAGACUCCUACGGGAGGCAGCAGUGAGGAAUAUUGCGCAAUGGCCGAAAGGCUGACGCAGCGACGCCGCGUGAAGGAUGAAGUCCGUUAGGAUGU